AGAGUACUUUGAGUUUGAAUUAUUCAGCUCAGCUGUUGACCAAACUCAACCGGAUAAUUAUACAAGUCUUCCUUUGUCUAGUCCUAUAUUGGCCUAAGUUUUAGGUUUGGGACAUAAAAUGUUGGUACUGGGAAAGAUACUAAACAGUCGAGCCCACCUCAUUAUUUUACAGCAGGCUGCCUGCAGCUUUUCUGGCUCUUCUGAGGAAAAACCUUCAAAGCUAAGAAUGGUUUGCUAGUGUGCCGACAGCUGGUGUUUAACGCCAUCAAUCAAAUGGGUUUCGACACCACCGCUGAUGGCUUGUCCCCCAACCACCACCCUGCAGCCUCUUCCACUGGGUUCUUCUGAGGAAAAGUUUAGAUUUGUGAAAAUCACUCAUAAUUAUUUAACUGGGUCAGCAGCUGAGCUCGUUGCAAAACAUGCGUCUGGAUAGGAAACGUGGGUAUAAACUGCCAGACUUUAAAGAAUUUUUAAAAACAAUGUAUAUGGUAAAUGUGGAAGAGUAGGAUUAUUCCCUUUGAAAGCUGCAGUGCCAGCCAGAUCCUUCUCCAGAUCCCGUUCCUGCUCUGCUCUCAGAUGACGCAAUUCCUCUCUCCACUGGAGUGCAUUAUGUUCUCCUUAAAGACUCCAGCUAAUGGAAUGCUGAGAAAAUCAAUCCCUUCUUAUUAUGCAGGCCUGCUAUUUGGUAAAUGGAAAGCAAAUUCUUUCUUCUUCUAAGUAGGCAGAAAUAAGCCCUGGGGGACACCUUGAUUUUAUCCUCCACAUGUCCUAAAUGAGAGUCCAACACACUAUAUCUGUGCGUAAGAUGUAUUUAAUUCAAAAAGACCAGGUCUGGAGUUCCUGUCUUGAUGCAACAGAAACGAAUCCAACUACGAACCAUGAGGUUGCGGGUUCGAUCCCUGGCCUCUCUCAGUGGGUUAAGGAUCCCACAUUGCUGGGAACUGUAGUGUAGGUUGCAGAUGUAGCUCUAAUCUGGCGUUGUUGUGGCUGUAGUGUAGGCCGGCAACAACAGCUCCAAAGAGACCCCUAGCCUGGGAACUUCCAUGUGCCAUGGGUGCAGCCCUAAAAAGACAAAAAAAAAAAAAAAGCCCAGGUCCAUAUCCACUCACAACUCAAUGGAGAGACAACUCUCUUGCUCUCUCCCACUCUCCCCUCCCCUUUCUUCUCUGAAGAGGACACAUAUCAUGUAGUGCUUUUCUAAGAGAUAUAUUGCCAUCUAACAUCCACAACAAUACCUACCACUUAUUAGGCAUUUAUUAGGUGCCAGCUAUCAUUUUUUUCACAACUUCAUAAGGUAGGCUGUAUUUUUAUCCCUAUUCUACUGUUGAGCAAACUAGGUGAGAUCAGUGGACCAAGGUCACUGUGGAGCAGAGUGUGGUUUUAAACCCAGCUCUCUUUGACUCUACACCUAGGGCCACAAAACACUGUUCCAUGCUGGAGGUCAAGUCUCAGGACAGAACCAAGUGAAAGCUGUGGCCCAUUCAGGCUUACCAUAAAAAUAAUUGCCAAGAGUAAGAAUGAUAAAAUGCAUAUCAUAAUCAUGUCAAUAAAUAGAUAAGCCCCUGGCAUUGAAAGUAUUCCAAGAGAAAUGGGAAGAACACUUCCUAAGGUAGGCUUCCCAGGACAGCUGGCUUCUUGUUCAGGGAAGAAUAACUGAUCAAAUCUGCUGCUUCCCAGAGCUGGUUGUUCACCAGGGAAACAGAUAACAUAUUUUUGGUCAGAAAGCAUAUUUGGGGAGUUCCCAUUAUGGCUCAGUGGUAGCGAACCUGACUAGUAUCUAUAAGGCCUAGCUCAGUAAGUUAAGGAUCUGAUGUUACCAUGAGCUGUGGUGCAGGUGGCAGAGGAGGCUAGGAUCCCAGGUUGCUGUGGCUGUGGUGUAGGCCAGCAGCUAUAGCUCCAAUACAGUCCCUAGCCUGGGAACCUCCAUAUGCCUGGAACGCAGCCCUAAGAAGCCAAAAAUAAAUAAAUAAAUAAAUAAAUAACAUUUCAGAAAAGUCACUUUGAGCCUGAGCUAAUGAUGAUUCUUUUCUUUUUUCAUAUUAUUAUUGUUUUUAAUAGCAACAUCAAAAUUAGAGCACUAAAUGCACAGCAAAGUUGAUAUAGGUGCUGCAUUUACAAUGUUUUCCAAGUAUUUCCAAAUAGAUUUGAAAUACAGAAACAACUUUUAAAAAUCUGGAAUAAAAGUUCAGCUGUAUAGAAAUCACAUACCCCCACCCCACUCCAAUAUAUCAUGUCAUUUCUAUUUAUUGACAUGAUUAUGAUAUGCAUUUUUUAAAAAGCACAACAAUUGGAGUUCCUGUUGUAGCUCAGCGGGUUAAGAGCCCAAUACAGUGUCCAGGAGGAUUUGGGGUUGAUCUCUGGCCUCAAUCAGUGGGUUAAGGAUUGGUCAUUGCCACAAGCUAUGGCAUAGGUCACAGGUGUGUCUGGGAUCCAGUGUUGCUGUAGCUGUGGCAUAGGCCAGCAGCUGCAGCUCCAAUUCUACCCCUAGCCUGGGAACUUGUUAAUGCUGCAGGUGCAGCCCUAAAAAGAAAACAAACAAACAAACAAUAUACUAUAAACUAUAAUAGUUUGCACCUUGGUUUGAAAUCUGUUAUCUUUACCAGUAUAGUCUGGGUCCAAGUCCUGAGACAGCUUCUCUCUCAACUCCACUGCCUGUACACCAUCCUGUCUGCACCCCAUCUCCCCAGGAGACAUAGUGGCUUCUCCUUCUCUCCCUGCUACCAGGUUCCUACAUCUCGCCAUCCCUCCUCAAUUCAGGGAUGUUCAUUGCUCCUCCUCCAGGACCUACCUCCAAGCUCAAGUCCCUUGUUAGUCUGUAAUAGACCCAUCUCUCAUGAUCUCAUCCUCCUCAGAAUUCCUCUGCCCUUAAUGAUCUGCCAUUUGGCAAUAUCUAGGGAGAAGGUAAUAGGUAAGAAAACAAUGCAAAUUUUAGAAAGGCAAACAGAUGGGAUUCAAAUCCCAGCUGAGUCACUUUCCAGUAUGUGAUCUCAGACUCAUCCACUCUGGGCCUAGUUUCUUCAUAUUAAAAUUUUUUUAAAAAAUGUUCAGUAUACCUCAUAAAUCACUGUAAGCAUCCUAAGUUAAUGUUUACAGAAUGACCAUCAUUAAGAAAAAUCUAUAGGGAGUUCCCGUCGUGCUCAGUAGUUAACGAACCCAACUAGUAUCCAUGAGGAUGUGGGUUUGAUCCCUGGCCUUGCUCAGUGGGUUAAGGAUCCAGUGUUGCCAUGCGCUGUGGUGUUGGUUGCAGACACGGCUCAGAUCCCACGUUGCUAUGGCUGUGGCAUAGGCCAGUGGCUACAGCUCCGAUUCAACCCCUAGCCUGGGAACUUCCAUAUGCCAUGGGUGCAGCCCUAAAAAGACAAAAGACAAAUAUGUGUGUGUGUGUGUGUGUGUAUACUCAAAUAACAAGUGCUGCAGAGGGUGUGGAGGAAAGGGAACCCUCCUAAUUGUUGGUGGGAAUGUAAAUUGGUGGAGUCACUAUAGAAAAUAGCAUGGAGGUUCCUCAAAAAACUGAAAAUAGAGAUACCAUAUGAUCUGGCAAUCCCACUCCUGGGUGUCUAUCUGGACAUAACUAUAAUUUGAAAAUAUACAUGUACCCAAUGUUCAUACAGCACUAUUCAUAGUAGCCAAGACAUGGAAACAACUUAAAUGUCCACCAACCAAUGAAUGGAGAAAGAAGAUGUGGCACGUAUAUACCAUGGAAUACGAUUCAGCCAUAAAAAGAAUGAAGUAACGCCAUCUGUAGCAGCAUGAGUGGACCUAGAGAUCAUCAUACUAAGUGAAGUUCAGAAACAGAAAGACAAAUGCCAGAUGAUACCACUUAGCUGUGGAUUCUAAAAUGUAAUACAAAGCAACUUAUCUAUGAAACAGAAACAGACUUAUAGACAUAGAGAACAAACUUGUGGUUGCCAAGGGAGUGGGGUAGGGAGAGAAAGACUGGGAAUUUGGGAUUGGCAAAUGCAAAGUAUUAUAUCUGUGAUGGAUAAACAAUAAGGUCCUACUGUAUAGCACAGGGAACUAUAUUCAAUCUCCUGUGAUAAACCAUAAUGGAAAAGAAUGUGAAAAAUAAUGUAUAUGUAGGGAUAACUGAAUCACUGUACUAUACAAAAGAAAUGAACACAACAUUGUAAAUCAACUAUAUUUCAAUAAAAUAA
This 4154-nucleotide long non-coding RNA is filed under the name Sus scrofa (pig). Its description in RNAcentral is "lncRNA (ENSSSCG00015067797.1)". Lineage: Eukaryota; Metazoa; Chordata; Mammalia; Artiodactyla; Suidae. The record is from RNAcentral.